This 404-nucleotide ribosomal RNA is filed under the name uncultured bacterium. RNAcentral describes it as "bacterial SSU rRNA". It matches the Rfam family "Bacterial small subunit ribosomal RNA", at positions 430 to 826 of the family's 1533-position model. The record is from RNAcentral.
GCACUUUAAGCAGUGAAGAAGACUCUAUGGUUAAUACCCAUAGACGAUGACAUUAGCUGCAGAAUAAGCACCGGCUAACUCUGUGCCAGCAGCCGCGGUAAUACAGAGGGUGCAAGCGUUAAUCGGAAUUACUGGGCGUAAAGCGAGCGUAGGUGGCUUGAUAAGUCAGAUGUGAAAGCCCCGGGCUUAACCUGGGAACGGCAUCUGAUACUGUUAGGCUAGAGUAGGUGAGAGGAAGGUAGAAUUCCAGGUGUAGCGGUGAAAUGCGUAGAGAUCUGGAGGAAUACCGAUGGCGAAGGCAGCCUUCUGGCAUCAUACUGACACUGAGGUUCGAAAGCGUGGGUAGCAAACAGGAUUAGAUACCCUGGUAGUCCACGCCGUAAACGAUGUCUACUAGUCGUUGG